CCUACGGGAGGCAGCAGUGAGGAAUAUUGGUCAAUGGGCGCGAGCCUGAACCAGCCAAGUAGCGUGAAGGAUGACUGCCCUACGGGUUGUAAACUUCUUUUAUAAAGGAAUAAAGUGUGGCACGUGUGCCUUUUUGUAUGUACUUUAUGAAUAAGGAUCGGCUAACUCCGUGCCAGCAGCCGCGGUAAUACGGAGGAUCCGAGCGUUAUCCGGAUUUAUUGGGUUUAAAGGGAGCGUAGAUGGGUUGUUAAGUCAGUUGUGAAAGUUUGCGGCUCAACCGUAAAAUUGCAAUUGAUACUGGUAGGCUUGAGUACAGUUGAGGUAGGCGGAAUUCGUGGUGUAGCGGUGAAAUGCUUAGAUAUCACGAAGAACUCCGAUUGCGAAGGCAGCUUACUAAGCUGUCACUGACAUUGAUGCUCGAAAGUGUGGGGAUCAAACAGGAUUAGAUACCCCGGUAGUC
This 460-nucleotide ribosomal RNA is filed under the name uncultured bacterium. Its description in RNAcentral is "partial 16S ribosomal RNA". It matches the Rfam family "Bacterial small subunit ribosomal RNA", at positions 338 to 795 of the family's 1533-position model. The record is from RNAcentral.